GAAUGAUAUCUGGUCUGGUGGAAGGGGCAGCAUCAAAUAUAGGAUUUCGAAAGACACUCAGUUGCCUAAUAAACUGAACAGCUUAGCCUGUUUUUCUAUUAUUUUAGAUUGGACUGUUAUCACCUCGUGUAACAUAACCUGGUAUGCUGUUCGAUACAUUUUCAACACCGUGUAUGAGCUCUUCAUAAUACGAAUAGCGCGUAUAUAUGAUCAGGAAUGUAAAGUACAAGAGAUAUUAUUAUGGCCCACGAAAAUAAAGAAAUUAUUAAUGUCACAUCCCAAAUAGAUGUUGAUUCGAUGGAGAUUCAAGAUUCACAGUAGACCCGUAUUGCUGCGCUGCAGAUAUCAGUGCGGCGUUUAUACGAGGAGCUGGCUGCGCUACCCGUGUGAAGCUGGCCCCAUCUAUAUGAAAAACUCGUAAUUUUCUUUUUGCAUACGUUUGCUUAUCGUUUGCUCACGUUUGCUCAAGUGAAAUUUUCGUUUGCCCCUAUUUAGUUCAAAAGAUAUACGCGGUUCAAAUUAGGUGGGUCCAGCUUCACACUUUGCAAAAUUUUCAAUCGCGUGUAGCUUUUGAACUGAAGAGGGGAAACGAAAAUUCCACUUGAGCAAACGUGAGCAAACGAUGGCGAAACAGAAUCAAAAAGAAAAAUUUGAGUUUUUCAUAUAGGUGGGGCCAGCUUCACACGGGCGGCUGCGC
Hylaeus volcanicus is the source of this 697-nucleotide long non-coding RNA. RefSeq lists it as uncharacterized. The record is from RefSeq and is a predicted model, not a curated record. The transcript has 6 exons. NCBI's taxonomy places the organism in Eukaryota, Metazoa, Arthropoda, Insecta, Hymenoptera, Colletidae.